Long non-coding RNA from Canis lupus familiaris (dog), 5637 nucleotides. RefSeq lists it as uncharacterized. The transcript is spliced from 3 exons. Lineage: Eukaryota; Metazoa; Chordata; Mammalia; Carnivora; Canidae. The record is from RefSeq and is a predicted model, not a curated record.
GGGAGAAGCAGGCUCCAUGCACCAGGAGCCCGAUGUGGGACUCGAUCCCGGGUCUCCAGGAUCGUGCCCUGGGCCAAAGGCAGGCGCCAAACCGCUGCGCCACCCAGGGAUCCCUAUUUCUACAGAAUUAAAAAGUAUGCACAACAUAUUGUUAGGAAUAUAUAUAAAUAUAUAUCCCUACGGGGAAGCCAGAAAGCAAAACACUUCCAACAACAACAAAAUUAAAAUAAAAGGAGGGGCACCUGGCUGGCACAGUUGGAGGAGUGACUCUUGAUCUUGGGGUUGUGAGUUAGAGCCCCACAUUGGGUGUAGAGAUUACUUAAAAUAAAUAAAUAAAUUUUAAAAAGUUAAAAGCAUAAGAAUGACACUUGCAAUGCAAGAAUGGUUUCCUGGGGGCAGAAGGGGUUAGGAGGGUGUAGAUGAGGGAGGAAAAUGAAAUAGGGUGGGUGAGGGGCUCAAGAGCUCCAGUAAAGUUCUGUUAGCUGGAAGGUAAGCACAGGGAUAUUUGGGUUUUGUUUUAUUUAGAGUGCUCUAAUUAUUUGUAUGCAUUAAAGUAACUAACCAAGGGAAAAUUUUUCUCAAAGUGUGGCUUUGAGAAAUGGGCUUGAAAUAUUAAAAUGAGGCAUAUUAUAAAAUAUGAGCCAAUGUUUACUAAAAAUUGCAUUUAUAUGCAAAGAUAAAGGCGGGAGAUGAAAUUUUUUGUACUGCUUAUCUCUGGAUUAUAGGAUUACAGGUGAUUUUUCCUUUAAGUUUAUAUUUUCCAUAUUUCCUAAAGUGAACAUUUUUGAGAUAAUAAAAGCAUAAGGUUUGUUAUAUAGAGAAAAAAACGGUGUCUGAUAGAGAAAGUACACAACUCAUAGCUAUUUAAUGCAUUGCCACACUGAGAAGUGGAUGAAUUUUUAAAAGAAAUCAUUUUUAGCCCAAAGGCAUCACUUUGGGAUGGUGGAAGUCUAGACUCCUGACCAGCGGGUCUCAAGCUAUAUUUCUGGGUAGGUAUAGAUGGGUGUGUGUGAGGCCUUUUGGCCCUUCACCAUGAGUCAGUGUGCUGGUAACUUGCAUAAUAUGGAAAAGAAAAGGUCCUGCCAACAGGAAAGUUACUCAUUCUUGCAGUUGGAUAAUAGAUCUAGAGGAGUAGUCGGGGGUGCAUCCUGUGUCCUGUCUUAGCCUUCUGCAUUCUCAUUCAUUGCCAUGGAAUUUUUCCACUUGCGAAUGAAUAUCAACUGGACAAUUAAUGGCCCAAAUGAGCAGUACUAACAUUUAAUUAGGAAGGCUUGCAUUCAAAGAAUCCAUUUCUAGAUCCGUAAGCCAACACUAGGGAGUGGUAACACCCAACAUAAAGGAAAGGGUCAAAUCCUUGACAUGGUGUCUAAUGAUGGCUUUACACGGUAUCAAAUUUCGUAGUUGUGAAAUAUCCCCAAAUCAACUUACAAGACAGUGAAGAUCAAAGAAACAGGCGAUCCACAAAAAAGAUCUUAUUUCUCUCCCAUGAAAGAGAAAGAAGACAGAAAAUGGAAGCAGUAGUUACCCCAGCACAGUGGCCCUGCAGAGAACCCAGGUAACCAUGGUAACUGGUUGGGACUGGUCUUUUGGUUGGAAAGAUUCAAAUUCUAGAACUGUUGGUUGGAUUUGCACAAAGUCCCAUGAGAGAUAGCUAGUGAAUUUCAAGUGUGGAGUGGUUCACUCUGGGGAGAUAGCAGCCUUUUUGUAAAAAAUCCUGGUUCCUAAUUGCUGGUGAGAAGAGCUAGCCCUUUGUAGCAGUCAAAAACCCCUUAUGUCUAGCAAACUUUCCUUCCUUAAAGUUAUGGUACUCAAGGAAAAAACACUUUGGGAAUCUUGAAGAGAUUGAACCAGAACAUCAAAGUUUUCCUCAUACACAAAUAUUUUAUGAGCAACAAAAUAGACAAUUUCCUCCAUAUAAGCAAUCAUUAAAAUGCCAAAGAAGGGCCUAUUUAUGAUUUAAAGUUCCCAUGAUGCUCUAAUGAAGGCACUGCUUAUUUCUACCUGGGAAACAUGGAAUAAAAAAAAGUAUAUAUACCUAAUUAUGAAAAUCCCUUACCUUUCUUGUAAUUUCUUGAGUUUCUCAGGGUCUGCCUUUAUCUUAAUGGCUUCCUUUUCAUCCUUGAAAGCAGAGACUGCCAUUCUGUUUCCAUUAUCACUUUGAUUUGGGAAAUCAGAGACUGCAAAGAAAGUAAAAGGUAUGUUUUCUUGCAGAGACCCAGGCACAUGCAAAUGGCCUUGUAAAUUCAUUCUUGAUGGAGAGGAGCUGGAAGAUUCCACAAAGGACAAACUGCUUUGAGAAUUUAGUAAGAGGUCUUCUGCAUAUAAUGGAGCCCUCUGUGAUGGGCUUGUUAAAGUAACAUCUGCUCCCCUGACAUCAAAUUCAUGUACACUGUUUACUGGAAAAUAACUUUGGUUUUCAGCACUGGCAAAUGGAUUCCUAUUUCUAAUGGGGGACAGUGGUCGACGAACAUUAAAUCUUGAGUUUCCCUCUGAGUCUGCACUGUGAAUAAACGUUGACGACAUUGACAAGUCUACUGGAAUAUCCUCUCUCAUAGCAGAAUGCAUUAAUGAGCCAGGAAUGUUAUAAGAUGAAUUCACUGGUGAUCUUGGAGCUGUUGGUCUGCCAGAAAGAAAAUAGUCAAGAGAAUUACUAGAACUGUUUAAAUAGGCAUGCCAAUCUCUUUCAUAAUCGUGAGUACCAGGCCUAUCUUCCACUGAAGUACAAUCUCUAAGUACAUUCUCAGCAUUGAGGUCACCAUCUAGACUAGCUUCAGAUUUGGUGUCCCAUGAAGGAAAGGUGCUGUUCUUGUGUUCACCAUUACCAUUGUCAUUCUCUCUAGGAGACCCCCCAUUAGGUGGCUCAGGGUCUUGAAACACCCUUGGCCCAAGAGGAGGUGGCUCUGUCACUAGCUCCAUUGCAUUGCUUAUUCUUAAUGAGCCAUGACUGGACUCAUUUCUUCUUACAGAAUUAGCUCUGCAAUUUUCAGGAUUUUCUUCAAAAUUUUUAUUUUUGUCCUGAGUGGCCAAUGUCCCAAGAAAUCGACUUCUCUUAUGAUUGGGAGGAGAACGAGGUGGGCGCAUACCAACCAACAAAAGUUCUUCUGCUAUGAGGGUCUCCUCUUCAGUGUCAUCACUUUCUCCUCCAGGGUCUAAUGAUAAAAUGGAAUAAAAAUCUUCAUCUCGGAAUCUAAAUGGUGCCCUUCUUGGUCCUCCCAUGGUGGUGGUUAAGAGUGGUGGUCUCAAGGACUCACUCAACACCUGAGGGGUGUUUGUUCCUUGGAAGGCCUGAGGUAGGGCUGGAUGUGGCUCAUUCUGGGAAAGGGCACUUGAGUCUCCUUUUUUGGCUCGUUCAGAGGUAUUCUCAGUCAUGGUCAUUAGCUGGGAGGAUGAGACUACAUUUCUUCUCUCUUGAGUUGGCCUCUUCAGCUUAGUGUCACUUGCCCACAUUGGGCCCUCUUGUUGAAUUAUUGGAUCUACAUGGAAAAAAAAAACCACACAAGUUUAUCAUUCUCCUAUAGGUGUUCAUGGAUGAAAGACCUCUAACACCAAGGGUGAGAGUCCCUCAAGGCAACAAGGAAGCCUAGAGAAGAAAGUAUGCAUGGCUAAAAUGGCUGGAGUAUUUAUAGAGAAGGAAAACCAGGAACACGUUCUACAAAAACCACCAGUGCCUUCUCAUCUGGAUUCAUUCAACGCAUCAGCCUUCACGCCCUGCUCCCCUCAUGCUGGCCUGCAGGAUCUAAGGAGGCGCUGCUGUCCUUAUUCAGCUUCUAAAGCCAUCUACCUCAACAAGGGACAGGAACUCUGUGGGUUCGGAGAAGGCCUGUGUGGUACUAGCUCAGGCAAGGAUUUGAUUUGCAAAUCCUCGGAGCAUCUGGCCCAGUCAAGGGCCAAGUCAAUACUGACUCACUUUAAUUGAGGGCCUCCCGGGGAGCACCCGUUCCUAAUGUCCUAAUACUCUGUAAGCCUCUUUUAUUGUUAACUGCAUGGGACACUCAGCAACGCAGUGUGAAUUUUUACUCAUCAGCUCUUCCAGAAAUCAGUUAAGCUCUCCUAUCAGGCCCCUCGUGGGUUUUAUAAACUCCAGUAAGAGAUGUAUCAGCAAUUUCAGGAGGCUCUGAGCAUCUGGCUGUGUAUGUAUAGGAGAGGAGCUGGUAUGUCCACUCAGAUCACAUUUUGAGGGACAAAUGCUUCUAUCUGACCAACUGAAUUGAAUUAUCUUGAUAAUUUUUUGGGGGUGGUGGGAGGUGAUAUAGAAGAUUUGGAAAUGCAGGCUCUGAUGGAUUACUUUUCAAUUUGAAUUUGAUAAAGGGCCUUGGAGAAAGGUGCUGGAACUUCUGGUCUGUCCCUGAACACACAGCUGUCUCUCUGCCCUGAGCCAAUUUAGUUUGGGCUUCAGGAGACGCCUAAGCAAAAUAAGCAGCUAGGGCAGCUUCUAAAAAAAUGGAACUAGACACUCAACAGGAACCACAAGCUUAUUUCAAGGAAGUCAUGGAGCUGUCACCCAGCCGCACUGGCUUCUGAAUGCUGCAGGGCAGCUCCUGUGGAUCCCAAAACACCCCAGGGAAUGCAUCUUCACCCUUCUUUGUCACCACUGCUGCCCUUUCUCUUUAAAGGUUCAAUCAGCCUUCCCUGGUAUGUUUACCUCUAAAGGUGGCAGACUGCGCCAUUCUAUAUUUAUGCUAUUUUAACCCGAUUUCUGACGUUUAUCAGAUAGGGAGCAGAUUUCAUAGCUCUGGGGUUGGGAAUAAACACCCCAUGUGGUAUGCCAGGAUGUGCUAUUCAUAGACCAGGCCUUACAGAUUCUGCUGAAUGCCUCUGGGGCCCCUUGUGGACUUCAGCUCAGAAGGGAAGGCCUCCAGGGGUUCAACUAGGUGUGGCUGAGUGUUCUAGAUACAACAAGACAAACCAGAAAAAGCAUCUGUCUGCCCUCAGGCUAUGUCUUUGGUCUAGACUUCUUCAUGUGCUUGACCAACCAGUACUAACCUGUACUUUCCUACAUUCCAACAGCCAUAUAUACUUUUAACUUUUUCCUCUGUUUAUACAAGUAGUCACUAUUCAUUUUGGGGGAAAUUUGGAACUUUCAGAAGAAGAAGAAGAAGAAAAAAAAAAUCCCAUAAUCCUAAACCUAGAUGGCCAUUGCUCCUGUUCUGGAAUUCAGGGGUUGGCUGCCAACUCAAGACCUCUGGGCUAUUCUCAUCCUGCAGUAGUGCUUUGACUCAGCCUUUGAACACUGAGUUAACCACCUUUAGGUAGAGCCUGUAUGUUCUGGUUUACCUCCAUCCCCAUAGCCUUGAAUAUCUGUUUCUCCUGCCAUCCCUGCCUGUUCCCUGAAGGCAUCUGAAUUUAUAACUCUGAGCUCUUUUACCUAGAAAUACUUUUUAAAAUAUUUGAAUAUUGGGGUAUAUACAACUUUAUGUCCUGCUUUGUUUCCCUCAGCUUUUUAUUGUGAGCAUUAUCUCCUGCCAUAAAUUCAAUUAUUCUUUAAAAGCAUGAGGGGCACGCUCUUUAAAGGGGGCAUCUGAGUGGCUCAGUCGGUUAAUCAUCUGCCCUCAGUUCAGGUCAUGAUCCCAGGGUCCUGUGAUUGAGCCCCAUGUUGGGCUCCCUGCUCAGCGGGAAGCCUGCUUCUCCCUCUCCCUC